AACUAUAAACUGCUUGUUCCUGUCACCAGGGAAAUAGUCAUGCAAAAGACUGAUUCACUGAGGCUUACCUGUUAAAUGCUCAUAGAACAAGCCCACUGUGGUACUUUGCAUCAUAAAACUUAUGAAGAAGUAAAUGCAUCCACACAAUAAUGAGCCAUUAUGGCUCAUUAGAGGUUCAGCUUGCAAAGUCCAAAGUGUACAAACAGAGGCAUUUAGGACAAAUCUGAACUGAGCACUGUACCCUGCCCUCUGCCUGAACCAGCCCUUUACACAUAUCUGGUAAAUGAUUUAUAAACCUAAAGAUAACAAAGUAUAAAACCUCUUUUUCUCCUUCUAUCGCUCUCUUCACUUUACAAAGGAAACCCUUUCUGAAUAAUUUGCCAUGUCUCUGAAAAUGUUUCAAAUUUUGGUGUCUGUUCUGCUGUUUACAGCUUCUGUUUCAAGUGUCCUUGGAGCACCCUUUCUGACAGAAGAAUCAGCAAAUCAAUUCAUACGGCUCAAACGACACAUCCUAUAUUCUCCGAGCUACUGGGACUCAAGCAGCAGCCAGAACACGUGGGGAUACAGACAUGUGGCUGAACAGGUUAGUGAAUCGUGGGCAGCCUUGAAAGAAACAGCACAAUACUACAUGGACUUGGACCCUUUUGCCUUCGAUCCCUCGACAGCCGUGUUCGAUGGGGUUUCUGAGCAGAGCAUUUCAUAGACUCGGAGCCUGUGUGUACCAAAAAACAAUUUAUUCCAUCUUUUUUAGCAACAAGAUCAGAUCCUACAUGGAGCUACUACAGCAGUCUGGGACUCACCUCCAGCAACAAGCUAUUAAAUCCUACACAUCUUGUAUCUGGCCAUGUUAGGAUAUGGCAUGUUAUGGAUUUGCCAUUAUGUAUUGAUAAGAUGACUUUAUCUCAUCCCACUUGGGUCUAAACCCAAAAUUAAUACAGUAAUUCUCUGCAUAAAUACUGCAUAUUUUAUAUUCAUAUGCAGAACUGAGACAUUGGUCAUGACAAAUUGAAUAAAAAGUUGAAGAAAACCA
This 1030-nucleotide long non-coding RNA is filed under the name Cyanistes caeruleus (blue tit). RNAcentral's name for it is "lncRNA (ENSCCEG00000015809.1)". Lineage: Eukaryota; Metazoa; Chordata; Aves; Passeriformes; Paridae. The record is from RNAcentral.